RNAcentral lists this ribosomal RNA (274 nucleotides) under uncultured bacterium. RNAcentral's name for it is "partial 16S ribosomal RNA". It matches the Rfam family "Bacterial small subunit ribosomal RNA", at positions 523 to 796 of the family's 1533-position model. The record is from RNAcentral.
AUACGGGGGGUGCAAGCGUUAUUCGGAUUUAUUGGGCGUAAAGGGCGCGUAGGCGGCUUGGAAAGUCAGAUGUGAAAGCCCGGGGCUCAACCCCGGAAGUGCAUUUGAAACUAUCAGGCUUGAGUAUGGGAGAGGGAAGUGGAAUUCCUGGUGUAGAGGUGAAUUUCGUAGAUAUCAGGAGGAACACCGGUGGCGAAGGCGACUUCCUGGACCAAUACUGACGCUGAGGCGCGAAGGCGUGGGGAGCAAACAGGAUUAGAAACCCCGGUAGUCC